UCGAGAAUCUUCGGCAAUGGGCGCAAGCCUGACCGAGCGACGCCGCGUGGAGGACGAAGGCCUUCGGGUUGUAAACUCCUGUCGAGGGGGAGGAAGGCACGGCAACGUGCUUGACCGAUCCCUGGAGGAAGCACGGGCUAAGUUCGUGCCAGCAGCCGCGGUAAGACGAACCGUGCGAACGUUAUUCGGAAUCACUGGGCUUAAAGCGCGUGUAGGCGGGUCGGCACGUCCGUGGCUGAAAGCCCCCGGCUCAACCGGGGAAGUGGCGCGGAUACGGCCGAUCUGGAGGGGGGUAGGGGGACCUGGAACUUCCGGUGGAGCGGUGAAAUGCGUUGAGAUCGGAAGGAACGCCCGUGGCGAAAGCGAGGUCCUGGACCCUUUCUGACGCUGAGACGCGAAAGCCAGGGGAGCGAACGG
Molecule: ribosomal RNA, 417 nt
Filed under: uncultured bacterium
Lineage: Bacteria
Description: bacterial SSU rRNA
Rfam family: Bacterial small subunit ribosomal RNA
Source: RNAcentral